UCACUGUGGAGAAGACAAAACAUACAAGAAACACACAUGGGCUGAUGAGACUGGACGUUGGCAUCAUAAGGCUAUUUUAUAAUGCCAUUGAGAUACAAAAGCCACAAAGUAUCUACAGCAGAGGGGAGAUAAACUCUCCAGAUCAUCAAAACCACUCAAUCUUUUCAGCUCACAUGCUCUCUGAGGCAAAGGAGCUAUAUUGAAUUCCUGAAACUUGGUGAGGCAGAAGGAAGAUGAAAAAAACCAAGGGAAUAGGUAUAGAACUUCUUACAGGAGACAAAAGCUUGGACAUCCUAGUGGUCUACUCUGACUCUUCCCAACAAUAAAACCACAUUGAAUGAAAAGAAUUUAGAAUCUGGUUUUAUGCAGUGUCUUUCAUUUAUAAAAUUCUUUAUUAAAUCAGGUUAGCCAGUAAUUGUGCAAUGUCUGUGCAGACACAAAUGGAAAAACCACUGUGUGCUCAACAAAAGCUCACAGUCCCUUGGAAGUUGUGACUUAGGCAAACGUUGGUAUCGGGAGUGUGACCUGCACUACAGGUAACCACUGGGUGAGCCCCAUGACUCUGGAAGACAGUCACUUCCCAGCCCAGAGGAGAAGGAAGUGAGAUGGGAGUCAGGCUCAAAGAGGUCCUGGUGCGGAAAAGCAAGGGGUGACAUACUGGCUGUUCUGGAACACUUACCUAACCUGGCAAAGAUGGCAUUGAUCACGCAUUGAAUGAAGACCAAGGACAAAGCAUAUUUGAACUUUUCCUGCUUGGCACCUUCUCCAUAUUUACCUCUAGUUCUGUAGGAACAAAUGAAUUAAACAGGAGAUUGAGAGG
Molecule: non-coding RNA, 820 nt
Organism: Chrysemys picta bellii (western painted turtle)
Lineage: Eukaryota; Metazoa; Chordata; Testudines; Emydidae
Source: RefSeq, a predicted model, not a curated record